RNAcentral lists this small RNA (132 nucleotides) under Salmonella enterica. Its description in RNAcentral is "RtT sRNA". It matches the Rfam family "RtT RNA". From Rfam's summary of the family: This family represents a bacterial cis-regulatory element known as RtT RNA. Lineage: Bacteria; Pseudomonadati; Pseudomonadota; Gammaproteobacteria; Enterobacterales; Enterobacteriaceae. RNAcentral also lists the same sequence under 1 other name. The record is from RNAcentral.
AUAUCUCUCUGUACGGGAAGGAUGAGAAGCUUCGACUAAGGUUCGAUUCGAGCGAAAGCGAGAAAGCAUUGCCAACGGCAACGACCCGAAGGGCGAAGCGCGCAGCGCUGAGUCAUCCUUCCCCCACCACCA